CAAGCUGUUACUCUAUCUGAGAGUAAUCAGCUCUUACCUAAUUUUAUUGCAUGUGAAUCAGAAAAAAUUCAUAUUAUUCACUAAGAAAGAAGAUGCAGUGACAUAAGUGCUUUUCUUAAAUGUUUUGUGACAAAUAAAGUCUUAAUGAGGUAGUUUGCUUUUCUUUAAUUGUAACAAACAGUUUGGGUAAAGCUUUGACUUAAGUAUCUCCUCAAUCUGAUUACAUUUAAAACUUGGAUGUUUAAGUGAGUGAUGUUUAUAAUCAUGAGUUUAUGUUGUUUUGAAUAAUAAAAGUAUAAAAGCAUAGUCGAGAAAAUUGAAAAAUGUCUCCUCUUUAGAAAGGAUGGCUAUGAAGUGUGGUCUUCAUUCAGAAAUCACCACCUGUGUUUUUGAAGUUUACUUUGUUACAGAAGGAUGAGUUAGUUGUGCGGAGGCACUUGUUAACAUCUGAACAGUGAGAAGACACCUGACUGGCAGCCUUACCUGUUGGGGCCCCGCGUGUCAUGGUGAGCUGCAGAUCCUACAAGAGCUUCCCAUUUCAUCCGCUCCAUCUGACCAGGACAGGUAGCGGUGAGAAGAAGCCAUACACAGGCCUCUUUUCUGAGGGUGUAAAGCUGAUUCACUACAGCAAGCCUCGUAUACUUGGCAGGGUAAACAACAACACAGGCUGAAAAACGUGGGGAAAAAAGUGGAGCUGAAAGAAUGAGCAUGAAAAAGAGGAAAGAGGGAACAGCUAAUCUCUAGUCAUUCAUUUGAUUUCUUUCUGAUAGUUAUUCAAUAAACAUGUGGCAAAGAAUGGAUGUGAAUCCAGUUCUUAAGGCUGCAAGACUGUGAUAACAAAAUAAUUAAGGCAUUCUACUUCAUGUUUACAGCUGACUUCCAUAGGUUGUCAGCUGGGUGUUCGGACACUUCCGCUACCUUUUUCAGAGAUUGUCCUUGAAAAGAUCCAUGCAGAAAUAGUAUUUACAAGAUACGUUUCAGAACUAUUCACCCCAAGUCUUGGAAAUAAAAUGAAAACCAGCUGUUACCAAAUUAUUUCUAGAGCUUUAAUUUCCCAAACAAAAACUUGUUACAAUUAUCAUCUUUCUCAUCCUUUACUUCAUAAGGUUAAUUAUAUGGAGGAUUAGAAUUACAAUUAUUUCAUUUAAUAUUUGUCAAAGAAGGAGAAAU
This 1170-nucleotide long non-coding RNA is filed under the name Cairina moschata (Muscovy duck). RNAcentral describes it as "domestica (muscovy Duck (domestic type)) lncRNA (ENSCMMG00000001646.1)". The record is from RNAcentral. Lineage: Eukaryota; Metazoa; Chordata; Aves; Anseriformes; Anatidae.